This 576-nucleotide ribosomal RNA is filed under the name uncultured bacterium. Its description in RNAcentral is "bacterial SSU rRNA". It matches the Rfam family "Bacterial small subunit ribosomal RNA", at positions 338 to 916 of the family's 1533-position model. The record is from RNAcentral.
CCUACGGGAGGCAGCAGUGAGGAAUAUUGGACAAUGGGCGCAAGCCUGAUCCAGCCAUGCCGCGUGCAGGAAGACGGUCCUAUGGAUUGUAAACUGCUUUUAUACAGGAAGAAACACCUCUACGUGUAGAGACUUGACGGUACUGUAUGAAUAAGCAUCGGCUAACUCCGUGCCAGCAGCCGCGGUAAUACGGAGGAUGCAAGCGUUAUCCGGAAUCAUUGGGUUUAAAGGGUCCGUAGGCGGUUUAAUAAGUCAGUGGUGAAAGCCCAUCGCUCAACGAUGGAACGGCCAUUGAUACUGUUAAACUUGAAUUAUUAGGAAGUAACUAGAAUAUGUAGUGUAGCGGUGAAAUGCUUAGAGAUUACAUGGAAUACCAAUUGCGAAGGCAGGUUACUACUAAUAUAUUGACGCUGAUGGACGAAAGCGUGGGGAGCGAACAGGAUUAGAUACCCUGGUAGUCCACGCCGUAAACGAUGGAUACUAGCUGUUCGGAGCAAUCUGGGUGGCUAAGCGAAAGUGAUAAGUAUCCCACCUGGGGAGUACGUUCGCAAGAAUGAAACUUAAAUGAAAUUGAGG